UACGUAGGUCCCUAGCGUUGUCCGGAUUUAUUGGGCGUAAAGCGAGCGCAGGUGGUUUAUUAAGUCUGGUGUAAAAGGCAGUGGCUCAACCAUUGUAUGCAUUGGAAACUGGUAGACUUGAGUGCAGGAGAGGAGAGUGGAAUUCCAUGUGUAGCGGUGAAAUGCGUAGAUAUAUGGAGGAGCACCGGUGGCGAAAGCGGCUCUCUGGCCUGUAACUGACACUGAGGCUCGAAAGCGUGGGGAGCAAACAGG
RNAcentral lists this ribosomal RNA (252 nucleotides) under uncultured bacterium. RNAcentral's name for it is "partial 16S ribosomal RNA". It matches the Rfam family "Bacterial small subunit ribosomal RNA", at positions 524 to 776 of the family's 1533-position model. The record is from RNAcentral.